RNAcentral lists this transfer RNA (73 nucleotides) under Candidatus Margulisiibacteriota bacterium. RNAcentral describes it as "tRNA-Lys". It matches the Rfam family "tRNA". Rfam says of the family: Transfer RNA (tRNA) molecules are approximately 80 nucleotides in length. Their secondary structure includes four short double-helical elements and three loops (D, anti-codon, and T loops). Further hydrogen bonds mediate the characteristic L-shaped molecular structure. tRNAs have two regions of fundamental functional importance: the anti-codon, which is responsible for specific mRNA codon recognition, and the 3' end, to which the tRNAs corresponding amino acid is attached (by aminoacyl-tRNA synthetases). tRNAs cope with the degeneracy of the genetic code in two manners: having more than one tRNA (with a specific anti-codon) for a particular amino acid; and 'wobble' base-pairing, i.e. permitting non-standard base-pairing at the 3rd anti-codon position. Lineage: Bacteria; Bacillati; Candidatus Margulisiibacteriota. The record is from RNAcentral.
GCGCCAUUAGCUCAACUGGUAGAGCAUCUGACUCUUAAUCAGGUGGUUGUAGGUUCGAUUCCUACAUGGCGCA